Long non-coding RNA from Passer domesticus (house sparrow), 10113 nucleotides. RefSeq lists it as uncharacterized. Lineage: Eukaryota; Metazoa; Chordata; Aves; Passeriformes; Passeridae. The record is from RefSeq and is a predicted model, not a curated record. The transcript has 4 exons.
GGGAGAGCCGGGACAGCCUGAGGGACAGCCGGGACAGCCUGAGGGAGAGCCGGGACAGCCUGAGGGAGAGCCGGGACAGCCGUGAGGGAGAGCCGGGACAGCCUGAGGGAGAGCCGGGACAGCCUGAGGGAGAGCCGGGACAGCCGGGACAGCCUGAGGGACAGCCGGGACAGCCUGAGGGAGAGCCGGGACAGCCGGGACGACCGUGAGGGAUGGAGAACCCAAAGCAGACUCAAAGGAGCUGUGAAGGUUCCAGCAGCAGCUGUUGGGAUGUUCUGCAUCCUGACAGGAAAUCCAGGCUGACACUUGGAGCGGGAGAAUCCCAGGAGAGGCGUACUCAGUGCCCUCCUUCAGCUUUUCUUUAGCUCCCUGGCAGACAACUGCUGGAUAAUUGAAGGGGGAAGGAUUUAAAGGAGGAUCCUGAUUUAACACCCAACCUCCAUCCCAGUGAAAUCACAACCCUGGGAAGAAAAUUCAUCUGAAAAUUAAAGAAAUGACAAGGGACAGGCAAAGGUCCAGCCCUGCCCUACAGCCACCCAUGGAACUCCGCCUCACAAAAAGAAUUUAGAGUGAUUUUGGAAGAAAAUCCAGGAAAUAUUUCACCAUCAGGAAGAGAAACAUCAAAAUGGGCCCCAAGUGGGCAGGAAGCCACAGCGGGAUUCCCAGUGUUGGGAGGGACACAAAGGCCAGAGUUUCAUGGAAUCACAGAGUCCUUAAGGUUGGAAAAGGCUCCCAAGAUCAACCCACAUUCACCACUAAAUAAUGUCCUCAAGUGCCACCUCCACACAUUUUUGGAACACUUCCAGGGAUGGUGAAUCCAUGAAUCCACCACUUGCCUGGUCAGCCUAUUUUCAUUUCUCUACAUCCCAAAAAACACAGCUCUGGACUAAAAAUACUGAUUUCUCCACGGCACUUCCAUAUUCCCUUUCCAUUUCCUUCGAGGUAGGAAAUCUGUUCCUGAAAUUUGGCUUCGAGAUUUCAUAUUUAAGUUUGCAUCCCAUUUUUGCAAAAUUAAACACAGGAGACGAGAUAAAUCCCUGGCAUUCUGGGAAGCACAGCAGGGUUUUACAGGAGAGGGGGAAACAGGCACUGCAGUGUUCAUAAAUAGUCUGAAUUCAGCAUGGGAAAUAUUAUGACAUCUUCAUCUAAUUUACAUAAUUUACAUAAAAAUAAAAUUACAGGGGAAUAUUAAAUUCCUGCAUGCAAAACCAUCUCUUCCUUUCCCUCCCUGAAUGAGAUUCUCCUUUUGCUUCUCAGUGGGUUUUAUGCAAUAUCUGGGAUUUCUGGACACUGACAUAAUCAAAUCUAACAAUAAUUUGAUUUUCUUCUGAGCUCCUCAGAGCACCAAAGCGAUUUUAUUAUUCUGAAGAUGGUUUGAAAGCAUCUUUAUUGAAGGCCCAUAAACGUCUUUAAAGCUAUCCAUGUGCCAAUGGAUCAAGAAUACCCCUGAAAUUCCUCGUUCUGCCUUGUACCUGAAAAAUCCAUUUGGAACAGCUUCUCCUGUAUUGAAUUCCUGUCUGGAGCAGCUGAUUUAAGCAGCUGAUAGAGGAUGGCAAGUGGCCCAUUCAUUGUGUUAUCAUUUUAUACACUCUGUCCAUAAAGCCCCCAGGAGAAGGAUGGACUGUCUGUCCAUGAGAAAUAAUCCACUGGCUGAGGUUUAUUGGAACAGCGAUGGAAUUUUAAACACCUUGGAAAAGCCAAAGCCUGGCUGCUGACACGAUUGGAGCGGCGUUUUCCAACUCUACGUUCAGGCUUGGAAUGAGAGGAAUUAAUGCAAUUAAAGCAGCGCCUUAAUUAGCAACUGGAAACAAGGGUUUAGUUGGAAAAACAAGAGCCCCUAAAUUUUCAUAUAAUGAAGGACUGGGUGUGGCGAAUGCAUUAUCAGAACAGCAGGAAAAUGUCCAGUGUAAUAAAGCACAGGAAUAUUCCAGAGUUCACCUCUGGCCCUGGUGCUCCCAGGUGGGAACUGCUCAGCUCCCAGCAUUUUCCUGCCCUGGCCAAUGGGAGGAAAAUAUUUAAUUCAGCGUCAGCAAAGAAGGGCAAAAUACGGUCAACAUUUCAGAAGUCACCAGUGAAGGAAAGUUUAAAGCACAGUCCAGGGGAUAAGGACACAAGUGGGGUCUGAGGUGACCCUGGCACUGCUAAACAAAAUCUAACUGGAGAGAAGAGCCUGGGAAACGGGAAACCCCCCAAAAUUCACUGUUCCAUGGGUAGGACAGAGGAACUUUUGGGAGUUUUGGGGUUCAUAAAGGCUGUCACUUUAAAGGAAAUGGAGAAAGAGCAGCAGAAGUUAAAAAAGGGAAACCAAGUAAUGCAAUCAAACAAACGGAAGUAAUGAAUAAUCCAGAAUAAACCUCAAAGUCCACUGCUGGACUUAGAUCUCUUAAAGACCUUUGAGGAAGGGUGGCUUUGCCAAAAAUUAUUGGCAUGAGAGAUGGGACUGGGAGAAAAUCUGGAGACCUGAAUAACUCCAGCAUGGGAAUCUCCAUUCACACAGGAUUUAAUCAGGUUUUGUUGAAUUCCUGAAUAAUUCCAGUGCGGGAAUGUCCAUUAGGACUGGGUUUAGGGAGGUGCUUGUGGAGGAGCAAAGCUGCCCAACCUUCCUCCCAAAAGCAUCACCCACGAUUGGGCUCAGCUCCGGGAUGGGCAGAGCAGGUGGGACAUGACAUGAACCACCACCACCAGGGCACCUCCCUGCUGCUCACUGUGGGUUCUUUGUUAAAAUUAAAAUGCCUUUUCUCACCCCCAGUGUGAAAUUUUCACUCCCUUGAAGAAAUUCCCAAAGAAAAUAUGGCUUUUUCCUUAAAUGCUUCCCUAAAACCUCAUUUAUGUCUUCUUAAUGACCUUUAGCUGACCCUAAGAAGUCAUUUCACAGGUGGAAAAUUGCCUCAAAAAAUGGAGUUAUUGAAACAGAAUCAGAAUCUCCUAAAAACCAGAAUGAUGAUUAUUAUUUGCCUAUAUUCCAAGCAGUAAAAUAGCUCAAAUCAUAUUUAUUCCCACAAAAAUGUACUUUUCCGGUGUAUUUACUCUGAAAAUUCAUUUUACGAGCAGAAAUCAAUACUCUGCCCUUUGGAAGGAGAUAAUCUGGAUAUAUUUGGAAAGAUCCACUGUUCUGUAAUAGACCCCAUUAAAGUGCUGCUGCCACAUUUCAGCGGUCAUAGAGCCACUAAAAUAAUUUAAUGGCUCAGGAUGGGGCAAUUUCCAUUGGAUUUUCCCUCCAUCCCAGUAAGUUUCUGUUAAAUAUAUUUUAUACAUCUAAUUCCUCCUGGUCUAAUCAUGACUUUAUUGUCCAUUACUUAAAUUUCUUACAUUUUCCCCUCUUUUUUGGUCCCAUGAAAAUAGAAUUCAUUCCAGCCAGUGAAGAUAAUUCCCUGUGGGAAACCUGUGGUUGGAAAUCUCCCAGUCUCAAAUAAUUCCGUGUUGGAGACAUGCCACCAUUGCCACCCUUUCUUUCCCAUUCCAAAUCCAUUCCUUUUUCCUGCACUGCUUCAGUUUGGCUCUGGAUUGAGCUGUUUGAGCUCUGUCACAGGCAGGGCUUGGGAAGGGUGACAACAAAAGGCAAAUCCCUUUUGGAUUUGUGAAAUAAUUCCAAAUAAUUCCUAGGAGUUACUGGUGUGCUCUGCUGUGUCCUGUCCUCAUCCAUGCCCAGCUCUCAAGUCAGCAAGGCCCAAAGCUGUGAUCCCAGAGGGUCUCAUUGGGAACUCUACGUGUUUUGGGAUAUUUUAGCUGUGCAUCCUAAAGAGCGGGAGAAGAUGGGAUCUUUUCCAGCCUAAAGAAAUCAGGCCACUGUCAACAUUCCCAAGGACUGCAAAUGCCAUCAGCAAAGCUCACAGAGGAGAGAAUCAUGGAAUUGUUUGGGUUGGGAGGGACCUCAAAGCUCAUCCAGUGCCACAGCUCCCUCUGUCCCAGGUGCUCCAGCCCCAGUGUCCAGCCUGGCCUUGGGCACUGCCAGGGACCCAGGGGCAGCCACAGCUGCUCUGGGAAUCCCAUCCCAGCCCCUCGCCACCCUCACAGGGAAUAAUUCCCUCCCAAUAUCCACCCCUGCCCUCUGGAAGUUCCUCAGACAAAGGACAUUCUGGAUUUUCAGUGUGCUGUGACAGGAUUGGAGAGAAGCCCCCCAGGAGCUCCCUGUGAUGGUGCAAAUCUGCUUUGCAACCCCUGCUUCAUUCAGCAUUAAACUCUUCAUUAAUAUUAUUUUCAUUUUGGGGCCUGGCUUUGUAAAAGGCAGUGGAAUUUCCCUGCUGUGGGAAUAAAUGAGAUAUUGUAAAUAGAAUUAGCUUAGAAAGGAUUUAUAAAGGAUUCAGCCAAAUUUCCUGAAGUGGGGCAUAAAUAAAACUAUUUUUGAGACCUCUCAUCAGUAUCAUCAGAACCAUCUCAUUGUGAAACUUCACAGAGCUAAACCCACUCCAGAACUCAAAAAACUUCUCAAGUAUCUCAAGCAGCCGAAUAUUCCCCCAGAAACAUCAUCAGAAAUGUCUUAUCAGAGGUUUUAUCGUCAGCCAAGAGCAUUUCUGGAUUGAUUUUGCUGCUGCUAGACCACAAGGACUCAAACUGACUUCAAUAAUCACAUGGAUACCCAACCUUCAAUGCACACAAAUAAAAAAGAAGAAAUUGUUGGUGUUCUGCUCCCACCAGCAGAAAGGAUCAAGGGGGUCCUUUUGUAUCCCAGCAGCUCAAAUCCCAUGGGAUGAUAUUUGUAAGGGAUUAAACUUGGAUAAUCACUGGGGAUGAUUAUGUACACAAAUAAACACAAAGUCAACAACUAUUUCUCCAUAGAAAAGCCAUUUAAAAGACAAAUUCCAUGUUAGGCCACAGCACUUUGAAUUCCUUGCUCACAUUUAGAACUGAGAUUAUCCAAAGCCAAUGGGAGGGAUUGAAAACAACAUUUUUUUUUCCAUGUUCCUUUCAUUCCAAGUGUUAUCUGACAGCCACAUCAGCGUUAAUGUUUCUCCCCAACCCAUCAAAUAUUUGAUUUCUAAUUAAGGCCUUUUCAUCUCAGUUGGAUUUGUCUCCCUCAUCUUUAAUUAUGUUUCCAUCCACGCUGCUCAAGAGCAAGGAUUUGCAUUUUUACAUUAUAUAGAAAUCACAUUGUAAAUAUUUAUCAGAUGGUUCCCUCUCUGCUGCUCACAGAUUUGGGAAUUCAGGCUCGCAGGAAGAGGGAAUGUUCCCAUGUUAACACCCCACUGCUUGUUAGGAUUUCACUGUCUCCCAUACAUUGAUUUUCCCUCUGCCACAGCUUCCCAUCGCUCCUGCAGGUGCAAAACCCACCUGGGAAUGUCAGACACCAGUGGGAAAAUGGGAUUCUGCUGGGAGACCCAGGAGCACACAAAGGCUGCAGAGAGAUUUGGCUCUAUCUGAGAACCAAACCUUAAUAAAUCACUGAGGAAAGUCCCAGCUUGGAAGGUACCCCACGGGGCAGGAAGGACAAACAACCUGGGGUGUGGGCACAGGAGUUCCAUCCUGGCUCUUUUCCCCAUGGGAUAAUUCUAUGGCAUCAACUGAUGGAGAAAAGGUGGGAAAAUAUUCAUGCCUCUUUGGAAAAGCAGGUUUGUGUGGUUACACCUCUAAAAAAAAACAUUUCUUGGUAGAAAGUUGCCUCUUGGAGCACUGGGCUCAAGCAGAAAAAUGGGAAUUUUACAGAAUUGUCAUUCUCGUGAGCAUCCCAGUGAUUUUUAGGAGGGGCAAAGAGGUGCUCUGCCAGGGCGGGAGGUCAGCAGUGACAGGGUUGGGGUGAGAUCCUCACUGACGGGCAGUGAGCCCCGAACCCCGGGCGAGGAGCGGGAGAAGCUGGCAGCUGUCCGCGGUGCUGAGCGCCCAGAGCCGCUGGCCGCGGUGCUGAGCGCCCAGAGCCGCUGGCCGCGGUGCUGAGCGGGCCGGCCCGCCGCUGGCCGCGGUGCUGAGCGCCCAGCGCCGCCACCGCAUCCCGGGAAUGCCGCUCCUGCCCCGGGCAGCCCGGCAGGGCGGGAGCCGGGCUGACACAUCCCCCUGGACAUGGAAUUUUCCUGAGACCCCGCCUGGAGUGCUGCACCCGGAUCUGCUGUCCCCACAGUAAGAAGGACGUGGAGCUGCUGGAGCAAGCCCAGAACUGGACAUGGUGUUGAUAAGGGGACUGGAGAUCUUCCCCUGUGGAGAAGGGCUGGGAAAGUGGAAUUUGUCAGCCUGGAGAAGAGGAAUUUGUGUGCAGAGCUCAGAGCUCCUCCCAGAAUCGGAAUGGGGACGCAAGGAAGACGUUGAGAGACUUCACUGGGAGCUGGAGUGACAGAACAAGGGGAUGGCUUCAAGCUGAAGGAGGGGAAAUUUAGAUGGGGUAUUGGGAAGGAAUUCCUCCCUGUGGAGGAGGUGAGGCCCUGGCACAGGUGCCCAGAGCAGCUGUGGCUGCCCCUGGAUCCCUGGCAGUGCCCAAGGCCAGGCUGGACACUGGGGAUGGGAUGGUGGAAGGUGUCCCUGCCAUGGCAGGGGUGGGAUGGGAUGAGCUUGAAGGUCCCUUUCAACCCAAACCAUUCAGUGAUUUUGGAGGAAUAAGCAGAAACCUAUCUAGGAAGGAAAGGUUUGCCACUUUUCUACACGGUAGCAAAAAGUAAAAUAUUUACAAGGAAGAACAUUAUUUCAAAUCUGUUACACAUCUGUUUCCCAAUUUCUUUUUAGCAAAAAUUAGCAUGCAAAAGGAAAACAAAAACAAGUGAAGACAACAGAGCUCCAGCCCGUGUGCUCCUCAAACCAUAAUCUGAUCAGUGAUCAAUAACAGAUCUUUUCCAUCAGUUAAAAAGCUGUUUGUACUAUACACACACAAGCUUUUCUUUGCUACAAAGCAGCAGCCAAACAAGAAUUCUCCAUUUCCCAUCUCAUCCCUCAAGCUCUGACACUGCACCCGUUCCAUCAGCUCUCCAUGGGAACGCCCGGGGGAGCCCCGUGUUGUACCCCACAAACACUCGGAGAUGGAGCCGUCACUUUCUCCCCACAAUUACAGAACUCCCAGCUGCCCUUCCUGAGCUCCCAAACAUCCCCAAGUGUCAUGUUCCAAACGAGAUCAGUGCUGGAGAAACUCUGGGAGUGUCCCUGCGCAGAGUACGAGGGACCUCUGGUGGAAGCAGAUUCCAGUGGCAGAUAAACACUUCUAUCCUCGUUUAUUCCUCCAAUUAAAGGAACCAAACCCCUUUAAUCCAUGAAAUGUCAGUGUCUAACCCGGAAUUCCAACCCAUUUUAUCUUCCUCCUCUCCAGCUCCCAGCUGAAAAUAAAGCAGUGCCCUCAGGAAUAUUUUAUUAGAUUCUGUCAAGCACCGUGUCCCAAAAUAAACCUGCUGGAAACAGCUUCACUUUGGGCCUGGAUCAACACUUGGAUCGACACUGGAAAGAGUCAAAUUAUCCCCAAAAUUCCAAGAUCACUUUUUCGUGUGGAAAAGCUCUGUUUGAUCAGUGCCUUGGGCUUCACGAGAUUAAAAUUGCUCCAACUUUGCAGCUCAAGGCAGAAUUAAAUUUAUUCAGCUUGAAGAACACCACUAACAAUGAUUGCCAGAUUUUUUAGGGGUUCAGAAGCCACCAAAUGUUGUCCUGAGAGUGACAGCAGCCACUGGCAGCGAGGAUCCAACGAAGCUGUUCCCUCCUCAGGAGCAGGGAGACACUUCCUGCCCCACACACCAGGGCAACCCCUGCUCCUGGAAUUCCUGAAUUAUUCCAUGUGCUCCAGCCUGCAAUUCCCUCAAGUCUUGUCUUCUGUCACAAAGAUGAAGGCAACAUCUCCAGGCUCUGUAUUUAUUUAUUUUUUGGCCUAAAAAGCCCAGUUCAGAGACAAUCACAGAGCUGUUUGUACUCCAGAAAUGGGAUCUGUAUUUGGGGUUUAUUUAGGGUCAACUUAAAAAGAGAAAUGCAGCCUCCAGCCACUGGUCAAGGCAGAAUAUUUAUUCCAAAAUCAAAUUUAAUGUUGACCUCCUAAAUCCACUUCUCAAAGUCCCUUUUAGCCUCUUUUAGUCUCUUUUUUGACAAAAAUCAACCGACAAAACAAAACCAAAAAUCAACCAAGAAACCACAUUUCUUUGCAUGAAAAGCACCACAAAUUGAUGUUUUUUGUGAACACAAUAUCCUAAACACACAGGACACAGGACCACUUGGAAGGACCUUUUCACCAGCAAGAACACCUCAAAAUCUGCUGAAUUCCAGGUCUGAUACCCACAGUCACACAUCCUGAUGAGCCUACAAGAGGAAUCUCUGCCUGGAGGUCAUUUGCGACACCUAAAACCCCUUUUUAACCCAUGACCAACCCCUCAGUGAGCUUUCACUGAUCCCACACCCCAGCAAGGAGGGCAGCAAAGGCAAAAGGAGGAACUCCAGCGGGACUCACGGGGGUGCUGCUGUCGGAGAAGGUGUUCAUGCUGACAGACCUGCUCAUCUUGCCCGAGCCCGGCGACGCUGGGGACAUCGGGGACCUUGGGGACGUCGGGGACGUCGGGGACGGGCUGCCCUUGUCCCGGGGCUCCGGGGAUGGGGACAGCUCCUGGCGCUGCAGGUGCUCACGCCAUGCUCGCUGGAUGCUGAGGGAACAAAGGAUUUCGGUCUCGGAACAUUGGGGUUGGGGUUUCCCGUGUUGUUUUCCUGUCUGGGGAGGGGUCACGUGGAACUGCCUCUGCAGGGUUUGUAUAAGGCACCACUGGGAUAAUUUAGGGUGUUUUUUAAGGAGAAUCCGGGAAUUCUGGAGUGGUUUGGGUUGGAAAGGACCUUAAAGAUGAUCUGGUUCCGAACUCUUACCAUGUUCCUCAGAGUCCAGCCCAAUCCCAAAACCCAUGGAAGGGAUUUCAGUUGAGGCCAUCCAGAACUCAGAAUUUAUCCUGCAUUCCACAAUCAAAAUUUAAAUAUCCAUUUGUCCAUUUAAAGGAAUUAACAAUCAUCUACAUCUUUUUUUAUACCACAUUUCAGAUUAUAACUCAGACACAAUGCGAAUUUGAGAGCUAGAGCAUUGUCAUGGAAUUAUGGAAUCCCAGAAUGGUUUAGGGUGGAAAAUGUCAUCUCAUUCCAUCCUCUGCCAUGGGCAGGGACAAUUUCCACUAUCCCAAGUCUUUCCAAACCCUGUCAAGCCUGGCCUGGAACAAUUCUAACAUUCACAACUUCUCUGCAGGAUUAGCUCCUUGUAGGAUUUUUAAGCAAUUGAGGGUUUAUUCACAGGGAUGAGCAGUAUUUAGUUAUUUAUAUUUAUAUUUACAUGUAUUUCUAUUUUAAAGCUGGAGAAUAGACUGAGCUUAAGUCAUAAUUAUUCUCCUAGAAAACUCCUUGAAAAUGGAUUCUUUCAUCUGGCUUUUAUUUGCAUGACGAAAAGCUUAGAAGACACUGGGUUUAAUUUGAAACUUCAUGUCCUUUUAAUGUUUUAAUAUGCAUUAAUAUUUGAAUGGGCUGUAAGUGAGGUGGUGUUUUCUGGAUGGAGGCAAUUCCUGUGCCAGGGCUGGAGGAUCCUUGCAGGGAGAGGCUCCAAAAGGAACCCUGGACUCUGAUAAAUAUGUGGGGAAGUUUAAUUAUUCAAAAUCAAGACUUCUAGAAUAACUGAUGCCAGGGGGAACUCGGUAUCACGUAAUGUACAGCAAAAUUUAAAAUUGUUCUAUUAUUCGAAGAGAGGAUUGAUUUAGGAUAUUGAGGAAGGAUUUUUUUCCCAUGAGAGUGGCAAGGGGGAGAUUCCCCACCCCUGAAACCACCCCAAAUCAGGCUGACAAGCUGCCCUAAUUGAAGCCAUCCCUGCUCAGGACUGAAAGGUCCUUGAAGGUCCCUUCCAAGGCGGACCACUCCAGGAUUCCAGGAUUGGGCGGCGCUCGGGAGGUCGGAGCUCAUUCCCGGAGCCCCGGUGCUCACCCUCCCUUCCCGGUGCGCUGGCUGUCAGCGUGUGCCGCGGCUGGGCCCGCUGCCCCAGGAGAUCCCGCUUCUCCCGAGCCCCCCAGAGCAGGAAUUCUGCACUUCCCGGGCUGCUCCUGCCGGGGAAUCCCCGGGAAACUGCUGUUGGAUGGGGAAAUGGGCACGGAAAAGGCUCCGUGCUGCCCUUCCCUCCUCUGGCUUCUCUGCACAGGGAAAAAUCCAGCAGAUUGCCAAAUAUUCUUGAGUUACACAGAGGAAAUGACAAAGUGAGUGCAACACUGAUGU